RNAcentral lists this ribosomal RNA (406 nucleotides) under uncultured bacterium. Its description in RNAcentral is "partial 16S ribosomal RNA". It matches the Rfam family "Bacterial small subunit ribosomal RNA", at positions 30 to 526 of the family's 1533-position model. The record is from RNAcentral.
AUUGAACGCUGGCGGCAGGCUUAACACAUGCAAGUCGAGCGAGCGGCGGACGGGUGAGUAAUGUCUGGGAAACUGCCUGAUGGAGGGGGAUAACUACUGGAAACGGUAGCUAAUACCGCAAACCAUCAUAUGGGCCCUGAGUGGAUUAGGUAGUGGGUGGGGUAAUGGCUCACCUAGGCGACGAUCCCUAGCUGGCCUGAGAGGAUGACCGGCCACACUGGAACUGAGACACGGUCCAGACUCCUACGGGAGGCAGCAGUGGGGAAUAUUGGACAAUGGGCGCAAGCCUGACGCAGCCAUGCCGCGUGUAUGAAGAAGGCUUUCGGGUUGUAAAGUACUUUCAGCGGGGAGGCGUUACCCGCAGAGGAAGCACCGGCUAACUCCGUGCCAGCAACCGCGGUAAUUC